GGGGCUGACUUGGAUUUCGACAGAUUUCUUGUCGCACAGACAGCAUGCCAAGUGCUACUUGUAAAACAGCAACAAAAAUAACUGUAAACAACACAGAUUACGCUCCAGCUUACGCUAAAGCUGCGUGAGUUAAUCUCCUUUUGGAGCUGGACUGAUUAGAACUUCUAGCGUUUUAAUCACUCCAUAACCUUAAGCUAGACGCUUUUAAAAGGUGGUUCGCCUUUUAAACUAAGAAACAAGAACUCUUGAAACUACCUCAAGGUUUUAGAAAGUUGGACCAGAGCUAGUUUUAAGGCUAAAAAACCAACCAAUUUUCUAAGCAUUGUAGAAGUUUGUGUUUAGGGCAAGAUUUUUGGACUGGGGUUCGAUUCCCCACAGCUCCACCA
Molecule: transfer-messenger RNA, 386 nt
Filed under: Helicobacter pylori
Lineage: Bacteria; Pseudomonadati; Campylobacterota; Epsilonproteobacteria; Campylobacterales; Helicobacteraceae
Also listed under: 1 other name
Rfam family: transfer-messenger RNA
About the family: Bacterial tmRNA, also known as 10Sa RNA or SsrA, is named for its dual tRNA and mRNA-like properties. Its role is to liberate the mRNA from a stalled ribosome.
Source: RNAcentral